AAACAGGUUUUGUCAAAACAUUCCAAAUGAGCUCAGAAAGAUCCUAUAUAUAUAAAUGAAAAAACUAAUUUUACUUUCAGGGCCUUAAAAUUUUUCUAAGGCAAGACAUGUAAGUGAGCUGGGUGUGGUAGUACACAGCUGUAAUCUCAGCCCUAGGGAGGCUGAGGCAAGAGGAUCCAGGAAGGCCAGCCUGAACUGCAUAGACCCUGUCUCCAAAAAAAAAGGACACAUUUAAGUGAAAAUCAGGGUUGGUGAUUAUAAAUCAAAGAUAUGUCUUCUAAGCCAAAUGAGGAACCUCAAUUGAACGGCUGCAGUUUCAAAAAUUAUCAGAUUUUUAGUUAAGGGAAAUGAAAGAUCAUUUGCUCAUCUGAUUCAGAUGGAAGUUUACUAUUGUGGAAGCACGGAUGUCAAACAUGUACUGCUAAGUCUAAUCCAGUUAAAAAUUCUGCCUCAAGGGACCUUUCUAACUUCUGUGGGUGUGUCAUGGGAACUGUCUAAGAUGUUGAGAAUGGAGAAAGUGGCUUAGAGUUAAUUGUAUAACCAGGCUUCAGAUCCUGACAGAAAUGAUAAAAAAUCCUUUCAAAUCUGAGAACUAAUGAGCUGUGUAGUGUCCAGGCAGUAUCCCCCGGAACCUUGAUACUUCGAGUCCAAAAUUCAAGUAAGCCAAUUACUUAAGAUAAUUCAGUGCAAAAUCUUGUUAAAACGUGGAAAUGACUUAAAUUUUAUAUUUUGGAGUAUUGUGGGUUGAACACAGGGUCAUUGCCUGAGCUACAUUCCCAGCUCUUAGUUUUUUAAAGUUUGAGACAGGGCCUUGCCAAGUUGCCCAUGCUGGCCUUGACCUUGUAAUCCUUCUGCUUUGGCCUCCCACAUUGCUAGGAUUAUAGGCAUGUGUUCACCACACUGGCUGAAAAUGACUAAUUGAAAAAGCACUAUUUUAAUAAGGAACUAUUUUAAUGUCUAGAGAUGGUUACAGCACAGUAGUUUUAAGAAUUUUUAACUUCAAGAAGAAACUGCCAGGUGUGAUGGUGCAUGUCUAUAAUCCCAGCACUUGGGAGGCUUAGGCAGGAGGAUUGCCGCAUGUUUGAGGCCAGCCUGAACUACACUGACUGUCUCAAAAAAAAAAGAAAAUGAAAUUUUAAUAUUAGGUUCUCUUAAAAAUCAUGGCAUAUAGUUAAUUCCAUCCUGAUUCAGUUGUGUGAAGGUUGAAAACGAUUGCUGAUUAGUUGCUGUAAUUCUGAUGAUCUUCCAUCAAAAUGUUGACAAUUGUCAAUUUUCUUAGAGUGAAAUCUGGAACUCUUGUGUGCUCUGUGUACCCCAGGGGUAAGGAUUAAAAGAUAGGAAAAGUACCUGUAUGAUAGUAGCCAUCAACAGCUCUUUUCCUCACUACCUAGGGAAACAAUAUACUCGUGUUUUUGCAUUAUACUGAUAACUGCACCAGAGAGGAAAGUAGUGAUUUUUGAAUGACAACCAACCAAUACCUUGUUGGGCAUCACGUGGUCUAUGAUAAGAGCACACAUCUGCUUGGUACAAUGUACUUGAAAGGUUUUUUUUUUUUUCAAUACCACUAUGGUAUUACUGCAGAUAUGGACGCAUCAAACAGCUUAAAUCUUAAACCCUAAGUGUGAACACACUAGCUAGUAAUUGGCGAUUGUGAUAAUAGAUUUAUGCUUGUCACUUGCAACUGACCCUUGAAAUACCCUUUAAUAGUACAUGAAAGCUAGAAAAGGGUUUGGGUUGCUAUUCAACAAGAAGCAAGGUAGUUCAUUUUCUUGUCCCCUUCCAGUAGCAAAGCAGUACUCACAUUUGCCACAGCUUAGGAAAUUCCCUGGGUUUCAGCCAACUUGCUCCCUAGAGUAAUGAGGCAAAAUGUUGCUCUGUUCUAGGAAUGCUGCUGUUUCACGAUCCACUGUAGCAAGAAAUACAUGCCACACAACACAGAAUGACACAGGAAUAACUUGAUAGCCACACUUCUGGGAGGUUUCAGACCUAAAUAGAUGCUGUCUGCCAGAAGGAAAUGGACUCACUGGAGCCUUUAGGCCUGUCCAUGGUUUGGCCCUUUGGUAGCUGAGUUUACUGGGCAUCCACUGACGAGGAGAACGUAAUAAAGACCUGGAAUAAUAGAAGGAUAAGCCUGUAAGUGAACAUGAGUUGGUGGAAAACUGAACUUUAAUACUGGGAAAUCAGUUGGUUGUGGGUGUAGCACAGUGGUAGAGUGGGUGCUUAGCAUACUUGAGGUCCUGGAUUUAAUCCCCAGCACAAAAAAAUGAGUGAAAAGUGGCUUUGCAACAUCCUUAUAAAUUUCAUGAUGUAUUUUUUUCUUUUUGGUUGCAUAAUUUAGUCAUAACAUUCCAUAGUGUGAUGCUCUAUAAUAACCUGUUCAUUCUCUUUUUCUCUACUUUUUGCUAUUUCUAACAAUACCUAAGUGAACAUCUGUACAUUACUCUCAGGCAUGUGUAGAUCUUUAGGAUAAACCUUGAAAGAGUCCAAAGAUAACUUGCAUUUCAUAUUCUGGCAGCUACGUAUUCAUAAACUAACCCACUCAAGAGGUAAUAUUUAUAUUGUGAAAUAUUUUAAUGAUUUUAUAAUGAAUCAGUUUUUACUGGUUAUUCUUUGGCUCCAUGGGGAAAAAGAUUUGAAUUUUAAGAGAAGGCUGAAAUACUGUCGUUUGUCCAGAGCUACCUGAUCACGAAACACAGAACUGAAAGAUGGUUGGGCUAGCUACUAUUUCUCUAAAAGGUUACUACAGUAUCUAAAUGUUUGAUCCCUUAUGUGAGAAUGAGGAGCUUCCUUCACAUUUUGGCAUCCUCUAUCUUAAGUGGAAGUUUCUGGUCAUUUUUCAAUUUCGGGAGGACCUUUUCUAACAGAGAUUGUGUGUCAUUCUUACAGAAGCUAUGUCCACAUUUUGGAAAAGAAUUUUUUAACAAAGUUUAGCCAAAGGAUGAGAAAUCAAGCUGUGUGUGUGCGCGCGCUCACUGAAGUCCAGGCAUUAGGAGACAGGUUAUUUGGAGAGGUGGACUGGAUCCUGCACUGUGGCCUUAAACAUGUGCUAGGGAUUGAAUCCAAAGUCUUGUGCAUGUUAGGCCAGGACUCUACCAGUGAACUACAUCCUCAGCCCCUAACCAUUUUAUGGUGAGCAAUUCAGUGGCAUUUACUACAUUCAUAAUGUUCUGAAACCACCACCUCUGGUUCCAAAAUAUUUGUAUCAUUUCAAAAGAAAACCCUGUACCCAGUCCUUGAUCUAGUCUGGAAAUUUCAUAUAAACAGAAUCAUACAAUAAGUGAUUUUUAUAUCUAUCUUCUUUUCGUUGUUCAACCAUAUUGUAGCGGUACUACUUUCCAUUUUAAGGCUGAAUAAUAUUCCAUUUUAUGUAUGUAGCAUAAUUCCUUUAUCCAUUCUUCCAUUGAUAAACACAAAUUAUUUCCACCUUUUGGCUGUUGUGAAUAGUGCUGUUAUGAACAUGCAUAGACGUGUAUUUGCUUGAGUCUCUGCUUGCAGUUCUUUGGGUAUAAUAUUUAAGAGUGACCUCCUGGAUCAUAUGGUAAUUCUUAUGGCUUGUGUCUAGAUGUUCCCCUCAAAGCCCCAUGCAGUCGUAGGUGGGGCUUUUUCUGAGGUGGAUAAAUCUAUAGCAUAUGAUACUGGGAUUAAGGGUGUGUGAUUACUAAACCACAUGAGUGAUUGAUUUGGCACCGCCCAAAUCCCAAUAAACUGGAUGGGGUAAAAGGGGGCAGAAAGACCCUGUUAAAGUCUCUUGCUUUUUCUGUCUUCUGCUGCCAUGAACUGUUGCCCCUCUGCCACUCUGCCUUGGAGCCAGUAAAUUAUGGACUGAAACCUCUACGAACUGUAAGCCAAAUAAACCUUUUCCCUCUUUAACUUGAGUGUCUGGUAUUUUGUCUCAGCAAUGAUAGAAAAGUAACUAACACAGUGAUUCUGUGUUUAACUUCUUGAGGAACCAUCAAACUGUUUUUUGUUUGUUUGUUUU
This 3979-nucleotide long non-coding RNA is filed under the name Heterocephalus glaber (naked mole-rat). RNAcentral describes it as "lncRNA (ENSHGLG00000046976.1)". Lineage: Eukaryota; Metazoa; Chordata; Mammalia; Rodentia; Bathyergidae. The record is from RNAcentral.